ACAUAAGCAAGAUAGUUCAAGCCGUGAUUUGUCAUAAGUGCGAUGAUUAUGGCUUACAGCUCAUGAAAACCCCAAAUCCACAAUCUCAGUAAAUUAGAAUAUUGUGAAAAGGUGCAAUAUUCUAGGCUCACAGUGUCCCACUCUAAUCAGCUAAGUAAGCCAUAACACCUGCAAAGGGUUUCUGAGCCUUUAAAUGGUCUCUCAGUCUGGUUCAGUAGGAAUCACCAUCAUGGGGAAGACUGCUGACCUGACAGUUGUGCAGAAAACCAUAAUUGACACCCUCCAUAAGGAGGGAAAGCCUCAAAAGGUAAUUACGAAGGAAGUUGGAUGUUGUGUAGUGCUGUAUCAAAGCACAUUAAUAGAAAGUUAUGUGGAAGGGAAAAGUGUGGAAGAAAAAGGUGCACAAGCAGCAGGGAUGACCGCAGCCUGGAGAGGAUUGUCAGGAAAAGGCCAUUCAAAAGUGUUGGGGACUUUCACAAGGAGUGGACUGAGGCAGUGCAUCAAGAGCCACCACACACAGACGGAUCCUGGACAUGGGCUUCAGAUGUCGUAUUCCUCUUGUCAAGCCGCUCCUGAACAACAAACAACGUCAGAAGCAUCUUACCUGGGCUAAAGAAAAACAAAUCUGGUCUGUUGCUCAAUGGUCCAAAGUCCUCUUUUCUGAUGAGAGCAACUUUUGCAUCUCAUUUGGAAACCAAGGACCCAGAGUCUGGAGGAAGAAUGGAGAGGCACACACUGCAAGAUGCUUGAAGUCCAGUGUGACGUUUCCACGGUCUGUGUUGAUUUGGAAAGCCAUGUCAUCUGCUUGUGUUGGUCCACUGUGCUUCAUUAAGUCCAGGGUCAACGCAGCCGUCUACCAGGAGAUUUUGGAGCACUUCAUGCUUCCUUCCGCAGACGAGCUUUAUGGGGAUGCUGACUUCAUAUUCCAGCAGGACUUUGCACCUGUCCACACUGCCAAAAGCACCAAAGCCUGGUUCAAUGACCGUAGGAUUACUGUGCUUGAUUGGCCAGCAAACUCGCCUGACCUGAACCCCAUAAAGAAUCUAUGGGGCAUUGCCAAGUGAAAGAUGAGAGACAUGAAACCAAACAAUGCAGAAGAGCUGAAGGUCGUUGUUGAAGCAUCCUGGUCUUCCAUAACACCUGAGCAGUACCACAGGCUGAUAGCUUCCAUGCCACGCCGCAUUGAGGCAGUAAUUGCUGCAAAAGGGGCCUAAACCAAGUACUGAGUCCAUAUGCAUGCUUACACUUUUCAGAGGUCCGAUAUUGUUCUAUGUACACUCCUUGUUUUAUUGAUUGCAUGUAAUAUUCUAAUUUACUGAGAUUGUGGAUUUGGGGUUUUCAUGAGCUGUAAGCCAUAAUCA
Molecule: long non-coding RNA, 1361 nt
Filed under: Pelobates cultripes (western spadefoot toad)
Lineage: Eukaryota; Metazoa; Chordata; Amphibia; Anura; Pelobatidae
Source: RNAcentral